Molecule: ribosomal RNA, 253 nt
Filed under: uncultured bacterium
Lineage: Bacteria
Description: partial 16S ribosomal RNA
Rfam family: Bacterial small subunit ribosomal RNA
Source: RNAcentral
UACAGAGGUCUCAAGCGUUGUUCGGAUUCAUUGGGCGUAAAGGGUGCGUAGGCGGCGCGGUAAGUCGGGUGUGAAAUCUUGGAGCUUAACUCCGAAACUGCAUUCGAUACUGCCGUGCUUGAGGACUGGAGAGGAGACUGGAAUUUACGGUGUAGCGGUGAAAUGCGUAGAUAUCGUAAGGAAGACCAGUGGCGAAGGCGGCUCUCUGGGACGGUACUGACGCUGAGACGCGAAAGCGUGGGGAGCGAACAGG